This 2395-nucleotide long non-coding RNA is filed under the name Homo sapiens (human). RNAcentral describes it as "long non-coding RNA NONHSAT166789.1". Lineage: Eukaryota; Metazoa; Chordata; Mammalia; Primates; Hominidae. The record is from RNAcentral.
CACAUAGCUAGUAAGUUCUAGCUAGCACUGAGUGCUGUGCCCGUGAAAUUUAUCUACAUAGGCUUUCACUUAACCUGCAGACAGAACUCAGUUAGUCGGGGACAAUUUCCCUCAAUGUUAACAGCACUGUUCCACCGCAACGUGGAACAACAGCUUUAAAACGUGCUCUUCGUAGGCCCGGCUACUCCAAGAACAGUGCCUCCCGCCAGACCCAGGCGGCUUCCUUCACCCGCAACCCGAGAGACGACCCGCCGGGCCCGCCCCGCGGAAGCCGCCGGUUGCCAGGCCAAGGAGUGGACUAGGGUCGCCGGGGAAGCGGUUUGGGAGAGCCCAUGGUGACUGCGUGAGUGGAGCCCAGCUGUGUGGAUGCCCCAGCAUGGAUGACUACAUGGUCCUGAGAAUGAUUGGGGAGGGCUCCUUCGGCAGAGCUCUUUUGGUUCAGCAUGAAAGCAGUAAUCAGAUGUUUGCCAUGAAAGAAAUAAGGCUUCCCAAGUCUUUCUCUAAUACACAGAAUUCUAGGAAGGAGGCUGUUCUUUUAGCCAAAAUGAAACACCCUAAUAUUGUUGCCUUCAAAGAAUCAUUUGAAGCUGAAGGACACUUGUAUAUUGUGAUGGAAUACUGUGAUGGAGGGGAUCUAAUGCAAAAGAUUAAACAGCAGAAAGGAAAGUUAUUUCCUGAAGACAUGAUACUUAAUUGGUUUACCCAAAUGUGCCUUGGAGUAAAUCACAUUCACAAGAAACGUGUGCUACACAGAGAUAUCAAGUCCAAGAAUAUCUUCCUCACUCAGAAUGGAAAAGUGAAAUUGGGAGACUUUGGAUCUGCCCGUCUUCUCUCCAAUCCGAUGGCAUUUGCUUGUACCUAUGUGGGAACUCCUUAUUAUGUGCCUCCAGAAAUUUGGGAAAACCUGCCUUAUAACAAUAAAAGUGACAUCUGGUCCUUGGGUUGCAUCCUGUAUGAACUCUGUACCCUUAAGCAUCCAUUUCAGGCAAAUAGUUGGAAAAAUCUUAUCCUCAAAGUAUGUCAAGGGUGCAUCAGUCCACUGCCGUCUCAUUACUCCUAUGAACUUCAGUUCCUAGUCAAGCAGAUGUUUAAAAGGAAUCCCUCACAUCGCCCCUCGGCUACAACGCUUCUCUCUCGAGGCAUCGUAGCUCGGCUUGUCCAGAAGUGCUUACCCCCCGAGAUCAUCAUGGAAUAUGGUGAGGAAGUAUUAGAAGAAAUAAAAAAUUCGAAGCAUAACACACCAAGAAAAAAACAAACCCCAGCAGAAUCAGGAUAGCUUUGGGAAAUGAAGCAAGCACAGUGCAAGAGGAAGAACAAGAUAGAAAGGGUAGCCAUACUGAUUUGGAAAGCAUUAAUGAAAAUUUAGUUGAAAGUGCAUUGAGAAGAGUAAACAGAGAAGAAAAAGGUAAUAAGUCAGUCCAUCUGAGGAAAGCCAGUUCACCAAAUCUUCAUAGACGACAGUGGGAGAAAAAUGUACCCAAUACAGCUCUUACAGCUUUGGAAAAUGCAUCCAUACUCACCUCCAGUUUAACAGCAGAGGACGAUAGAGGUGGUUCUGUAAUAAAGUACAGCAAAAAUACUACUCGUAAGCAGUGGCUCAAAGAGACCCCUGACACUUUGUUGAACAUCCUUAAGAAUGCUGAUCUCAGCUUGGCUUUUCAAACAUACACAAUAUAUAGACCAGGUUCAGAAGGGUUCUUGAAAGGCCCCCUGUCUGAAGAAACAGAAGCAUCGGACAGUGUUGAUGGAGGUCACGAUUCUGUCAUUUUGGAUCCAGAGCGACUUGAGCCUGGGCUAGAUGAGGAGGACACGGACUUUGAGGAGGAAGAUGACAACCCCGACUGGGUGUCAGAGCUGAAGAAGCGAGCUGGAUGGCAAGGCCUGUGCGACAGAUAAUGCCUGAGGAAAUGUUCCUGAGUCACGCUGAGGAGAGGCUUCACUCAGGAGUUCAUGCUGAGAUGAUCAUGAGUUCAUGCGACGUAUAUUUUCCUUUGGAAACAGAAUGAAGCAGAGGAAACUCUUAAUACUUAAAAUCGUUCUUGAUUAGUAUCGUGAGUUUGAAAAGUCUAGAACUCCUGUAAGUUUUUGAACUCAAGGGAGAAGGUAUAGUGGAAUGAGUGUGAGCAUCGGGCUUUGCAGUCCCAUAGAACAGAAAUGGGAUGCUAGCGUGCCACUACCUACUUGUGUGAUUGUGGGAAAUUACUUAACCUCUUCAAGCCCCAAUUUCCUCAACCAUAAAAUGAAGAUAAUAAUGCCUACCUCAGAGGGAUGCUGACCACAGACCUUUAUAGCAGCCCGUAUGAUAUUAUUCACAUUAUGAUAUGUGUUUAUUAUUAUGUGACUCUUUUUACAUUUCCUAAAGGUUUGAGAAUUAAAUAUAUUUAAUUAUGAUUUA